CUAAAUGUUGGUGAAGUCGAUGGGUCUGUUUCCUGCUCAAACAAGCCAUGAUAGGUGGCUGUUGAGGCACAAUAUUGGGUCUAGUUCAGGACCAGAUAGGAUAGGAUAUUGUAUUUGGUUUUAUUCCACUUCAAGCACUGCAUCAAACUAGUCAGUGAUUUUUUGUCUCUUGUACAAAGACACCUGCAUUUGUUAUAUUUCUCCACUCAUUUGUUUAGGUUUUCAGUUUGUCAGCUGUCUGUAUAUGUUCAAGAUUGUGGGGACAGCCCAUCCACUCCUGAGUCUCCUUUGUCGGUCUAAACUGUAGCUUACAGAAUGAUUUUCAGGCACAUGACUAAAAAAAGUAACUUCCUGUAUAAACACACCAGGCUUAUAGCAGCUAGUGAUAACCACCUGAUUAAAAUUCAUUUGUAUUUGUCUUUAUCUUCACUAAAUAGAUUUAGGUAAAUUCAUUUCAAAUUUCUACUCAGGCAUGUUCAUUUUGUUUAUAUGAAGUGCAGCUAGGUCAGCCAAUGAGUGAGCUAGGAGAGAGCGGUACAGCCCAAUGGAGAAGCAGGAGGCGGGCACUCUAAUCUGCGCAAAACAAGCAGUCAGUCUCCACGAGCUUGACAGGAGCUUUUUUUUCUUUUUUUUUUUUUUACCUUUCACAGCCAUGCCUACGGAGGGUGAAGGGAAGAGAGAGAGUGGGAAAGAGGUGGAGUGGCGAGAGAGACAGAGAAGUGACACAAAUCAAUGUGAGCACCCAAACCACCGUCACCAGCAGCAGCGACAGCCUCCCCGACCUCCAUCACCUCUCUGCCUUUCCCUGGGAGAGACAGAUAGAGACAGAGUCACAGGAAAGACAGUCUCCUCAACAACGCAGCAUCUGGAGUUGAGUGCAUCCAGAUAAACAGCUGGUGCUGCUAAUUCUCCAGUCAGGUGCCACUGAAGCAUUGCAGAGGAAGAGGGCACAACAAGAUGUCCUAAUUAAGUUACCAUCCUGUUCUUGUGCUGUGAUUCCCCGUGAUCACCUGUCAAUCAAACAGUAUGGACGGUACUGCUGCGUCCUCUUUUUGUGAUUUUCUGAUGAAGUUUCUGUAGCUGCCGCUCUUUUCACUCUCUGCAGCUCUAUCAUCUGUUGUUGUUGCUAACUCCCCAGCUCUUGUUCUUUUAACUUGAAACAAAUCGCUAUGGCUGUGGAAAUGCAAAUCAUAUCACUUCCUGCGCGACAGAGGACUUUCCUGCAUGUUUAGAACAGCAAGUGUAAGCUCUUUCAUGAACUGGAUAUGUCAGUCAACGAUAACAGUAGCAAAACUGUCAUCAAUGUUAUCACUGUAAGGAAGAGGCCAGGGGGCACAGCGGCUGUUUUGGCCUACGGGAAUGUAUCAGCAUCCACAUACCCACAGCAAACACACACUUAAAGUAGAGCAGUUAGAAAACACGCACACACACAUGUAACUCACAUAGAAUUCAAAGGCAUAAACUCAUAGAUAAAUCAUGCACAUACACAUACGGUUGUCUUUUGAACACCAACAUGUGUUACACCUGGGAUUAGCUAGAUGUUUGUGAGAUCAAAUGUUGUCCACCUCCCCCAUCCUACUUCCUAUUAUCUCUAAUGUGGAGAAUAAUCCUCUUGUGGAAUUAAUCUCUUCUGAAUAGCGUUUGUUACCAUGCUGAGAUAGAAU
This is a long non-coding RNA of Siniperca chuatsi (mandarin fish), 1664 nucleotides long. RefSeq lists it as uncharacterized. The transcript is spliced from 4 exons. NCBI's taxonomy places the organism in Eukaryota, Metazoa, Chordata, Actinopteri, Centrarchiformes, Sinipercidae. The record is from RefSeq and is a predicted model, not a curated record.